This 484-nucleotide ribosomal RNA is filed under the name Clostridioides difficile. Its description in RNAcentral is "partial 23S ribosomal RNA". It matches the Rfam family "Bacterial large subunit ribosomal RNA", at positions 1875 to 2357 of the family's 2925-position model. Lineage: Bacteria; Bacillati; Bacillota; Clostridia; Peptostreptococcales; Peptostreptococcaceae. The record is from RNAcentral.
GGUUAAGGGGAUCUGUUAGAGCAAUCGAAGCAGUGAACUUAAGCCCCAGUAAACGGCGGCCGUAACUAUAACGGUCCUAAGGUAGCGAAAUUCCUUGUCGGGUAAGUUCCGACCCGCACGAAAGGCGUAACGAUUUGGGCACUGUCUCAACAACAGACUCGGUGAAAUUGUAAUUCCGGUGAAGAUGCCGGAUACCUGCGACAGGACGGAAAGACCCCAUGGAGCUUUACUGUAGCUUGACAUUGGGUCUUGGUACUACAUGUACAGGAUAGGUGGGAGGCUUUGAAACCAGGACGCCAGUUUUGGCGGAGCCAUCCUUGGGAUACCACCCUUGUAGUACUGGGACUCUAACCAUAGGCCAUGAAUCUGGUCUUGGGACACUGUCAGGUGGGCAGUUUGACUGGGGCGGUCGCCUCCCAAAAGGUAACGGAGGCGCUCAAAGGUUCUCUCAGUACGGUCGGAAAUCGUACGUAGAGUGUAAAGG